AACACAUAUUGAGGACAUACCUGCAGGAGAUCCUUGAACCUAUCCCAUGUCUCAAAAAGGGACUAUAAUUCCGUUUGCACAAAAGAGCAUAUUUCAAUCCUGAGCUU
Dioscorea cayenensis subsp. rotundata (Guinea yam) is the source of this 107-nucleotide small nucleolar RNA. The record is from RefSeq and is a predicted model, not a curated record. Lineage: Eukaryota; Viridiplantae; Streptophyta; Magnoliopsida; Dioscoreales; Dioscoreaceae.